UACGAACUGUGCGAACGUUAUUCGGAAUCACUGGGCUUACAGGGUGCGUAGGCGGCUUGUUAAGUAGGGUGUGAAAGCCCCCGGCUCAACCGGGGAAUUGCGCCCUAAACUGGCGAGCUGGAGUGAGAUAGGGGUGUGUGGAACUUCCGGUGGAGCGGUGAAAUGUGUUGAUAUCGGAAGGAACGCCGGUGGCGAAAGCGACACACUGGAUCUUGUCUGACGCUGAGGCACGAAAGCGUGGGGAGCGAACAGG
RNAcentral lists this ribosomal RNA (253 nucleotides) under uncultured bacterium. RNAcentral's name for it is "partial 16S ribosomal RNA". It matches the Rfam family "Bacterial small subunit ribosomal RNA", at positions 524 to 776 of the family's 1533-position model. The record is from RNAcentral.